Molecule: long non-coding RNA, 529 nt
Organism: Octopus sinensis (East Asian common octopus)
Lineage: Eukaryota; Metazoa; Mollusca; Cephalopoda; Octopoda; Octopodidae
Exons: 3
Source: RefSeq, a predicted model, not a curated record
CAUACAGAUAUGCGUAUGUGUUUGUGUAUACAUACUAAUGUGUACGUAUGCAUAGAUAACAUCCUUCUGAAUUCGAUGAUUCAAUACAAUCGUUUUUCGACUUACACUUUUAAACUUGGAUGGUUUCGGAGGAGAUCAAGUUUUAACAUGUGAUCAGCUCAAAGGGAUCAGAGGGCUCAAAAUAUUGGCAUCACGAGAACAACUAAUCGUAAGACGCACCACUGUGAAAAGAUAUUUCUAUCUUUUAAGAAAACAAUUCCAAAAUUCUAGUAAUCAACAUUGAUAAAUAGAUUAAGGAGAAGAAACCUGGGAAAUCACUGACAAUGGACACCUGUUAUGAAAAUGAGAUGAUCUCACCCAAUUCAAAACAGUCAGCUUUAAUUCAACUAAUAGAGUACAUGAGUAACAAACUAUCAAAGUACAACACUGAAAACGAAGCUUUCGAAGACGAACUGGCUAAUGUUGAAAAAGAACUGAGUACAAAAAAGGAAAUCAUUAGCAGACACCGUGAAAACAUGGUUCAAGUUGA